Molecule: long non-coding RNA, 1022 nt
Filed under: Daucus carota (carrot)
Lineage: Eukaryota; Viridiplantae; Streptophyta; Magnoliopsida; Apiales; Apiaceae
Description: long non-coding RNA (DCAR_LNC007606)
Source: RNAcentral
GUCCAAGUUACUGUAGAUUGAUCAUCUACGUGACUAUUAACGUCCAAUAUAUCUGAAUGCUUUGGAAAUUAUAUGUACUUUUGAAUUGUUUUGGUUUCAAGUUAAAAGCAUGUUGUUUUGUAUACUUCCAGUUCAAUUACUUUCUCUGCAUUAACUCCUGUUUCUUUUUAACUAUUAUACUUGCUGAGCAUUCUUUUGCUCAUUCUUGCUAUUUCUUCUCUAACUCUUUCAGAUAGUGUUAAAGAUGAUUCAUCUGUCUAGGCUGCGCGUAAGAGUAAUGCUAGGCAAGGAUUUCAAGUGAUUAGUUGUAACUGAAUGAUCAGGUAAAGUAUUCAGGAAGAUGUCUGCGAGAUUAGUGGUAAUUAGAGUUGGCUUAAUUUCGCUUCAAAUGUAAAAUAAAUUUAUUAAAUAUUAUCAGCUACUCUGAUAAUUUAGAUUGUAUUGUAAUAAGAUUUAUUAGUUGUGAUUCUGAUUUCAAUACUAUAGCCUGUUUGCGAUUCUGUUUUAAAGGGGGUGAAAUUGAGUUCUAAUUUAAAUCAUUUUUUUUCAUUUCCAGGUUUUGAAAUACUUGUUUUUACUUUCUCUCAAAGAUACAAGUUUUAAAUUGUUUUUCUUUUAGUGGCUCAAAAAUACAGGUUUUAAAUUAUUUUUAUUUACACGUGGCACCAAAUCCAGACCCCCGGAUUUGAGGGAUGUCACAGUUGGUAUCAGAGCUGCAGGUUAUAAGUUAUUGAAAUCAGAAUAUAGGUGGUAAUAUCAGGUUUAAUAGAGAGGCGCGCUAAGUGUAACCUUACAUAGAGGUAGUCUACAACUAUUUGGAAUAAUAUGUGUCAAUAGAACCAAGAUUCCGAUAUAGUAUUGACUUGAGUAUAUCAUAGUGUGUAUAAUAGUUUUCCUUUCCCAGAACUAGUAAGUUUAUAUCUCAGGGAAGAAAGAACAUGCCUACACCAUUUCCUAGUCUAUCGAGUAGUUAGUACCAAUAUUAGCAAACAAAUAGAUUCUCUUGUUGAGUCUAGAACAUC